RNAcentral lists this transfer-messenger RNA (389 nucleotides) under Phormidium sp. FACHB-1136. It matches the Rfam family "transfer-messenger RNA". From Rfam's summary of the family: Bacterial tmRNA, also known as 10Sa RNA or SsrA, is named for its dual tRNA and mRNA-like properties. Its role is to liberate the mRNA from a stalled ribosome. The record is from RNAcentral. Lineage: Bacteria; Bacillati; Cyanobacteriota; Cyanophyceae; Oscillatoriales; Oscillatoriaceae.
GGGGCUGUAACGGUUUCGACGUUUUGACGAAAGUCACGCUGUGAUACAGGCCGAGAGGGAGUCCACUCUCGUUAAUCCAGGCUCAAAACAAACGUAAGUGCGAACAACAUCGUUCCUUUUGCUCGUAAAGCUGCACCUGUUGCCGCUUAACUAAAACUCUUUUAGCGAGCGUUCAUAGUUUGACUCCGUUAAGGACUGUGGACAAAACCCCAACGGAUGCGCUAGCAGGCGUUCUCUAGUGAGCCUGUCAGCUAAGCGUUCACUAGAGCAUCCCACCGUCCGGGAUAAGUGACGGUUCCUGCCCCAAGGAUUAGCGGGGCUAAGCCUGUGAAUGAGUGGUGUGUUAAUACUCAAAGCGGACACGGGUUCGACUCCCGUCAGCUCCAUUC